CGGUGUAGCUCAGUUGGUAGAGCACCUGACUUGUAAUCAGGGGGUCGCGAGUUCGAAUCCUGCCGCCGGC
Molecule: transfer RNA, 70 nt
Filed under: Neisseria elongata
Lineage: Bacteria; Pseudomonadati; Pseudomonadota; Betaproteobacteria; Neisseriales; Neisseriaceae
Rfam family: tRNA
About the family: Transfer RNA (tRNA) molecules are approximately 80 nucleotides in length. Their secondary structure includes four short double-helical elements and three loops (D, anti-codon, and T loops).
Source: RNAcentral